This 541-nucleotide ribosomal RNA is filed under the name Purpureocillium lilacinum. RNAcentral describes it as "eukaryotic LSU rRNA". It matches the Rfam family "Eukaryotic large subunit ribosomal RNA", at positions 83 to 648 of the family's 3401-position model. The record is from RNAcentral. Lineage: Eukaryota; Fungi; Ascomycota; Sordariomycetes; Hypocreales; Ophiocordycipitaceae.
GUAACGGCGAGUGAAGCGGCAACAGCUCAAAUUUGAAAUCUGGCCCCCAGGGCCCGAGUUGUAAUUUGCAGAGGAUGCUUUUGGCGCGGUGCCUUCCGAGUUCCCUGGAACGGGACGCCAUAGAGGGUGAGAGCCCCGUCUGGUCGGACGCCUAGCCUGUGUAAAGCUCCUUCGACGAGUCGAGUAGUUUGGGAAUGCUGCUCUAAAUGGGAGGUAUAUGUCUUCUAAAGCUAAAUACCGGCCAGAGACCGAUAGCGCACAAGUAGAGUGAUCGAAAGAUGAAAAGCACUUUGAAAAGAGGGUUAAAUAGUACGUGAAAUUGUUGAAAGGGAAGCGCUUGUGACCAGACUUGGGCCCGGUGGAUCAUCCAGCGUUCUCGCUGGUGCACUCCGCCGGGUUCAGGCCAGCAUCAGUUCGCCGCGGGGGAAAACGGCUUCGGGAACGUGGCUCCUACGGGAGUGUUAUAGCCCGUUGCAUAAUACCCUGGGGCGGACUGAGGUUCGCGCUCCGCAAGGAUGCUGGCGUAAUGGUCAUCAGCGAC